Small nuclear RNA from Sorex fumeus (smoky shrew), 107 nucleotides. NCBI's taxonomy places the organism in Eukaryota, Metazoa, Chordata, Mammalia, Eulipotyphla, Soricidae. The record is from RefSeq and is a predicted model, not a curated record.
GUGCUCGCUUCGGCAGCACAUAUACUAAAAUUGGAACGAUACAGAGAAGAUUAGCAUGGCCCCUGCGCAAGAAAUAUGAAAAUAUGAAAAAAUAAUUUCAUAAAUAU